GCGGUUUUAGCUCAGUUGGGAGAGCGUCAGACUGAAGUCAACUUCAGUUCAGGAAAUCUGAAGGUCCAGUGUUCGAUCCACUGAAACCGCA
Molecule: transfer RNA, 91 nt
Filed under: Nadsonia fulvescens var. elongata DSM 6958
Lineage: Eukaryota; Fungi; Ascomycota; Dipodascomycetes; Dipodascales
Rfam family: tRNA
About the family: Transfer RNA (tRNA) molecules are approximately 80 nucleotides in length. Their secondary structure includes four short double-helical elements and three loops (D, anti-codon, and T loops). Further hydrogen bonds mediate the characteristic L-shaped molecular structure. tRNAs have two regions of fundamental functional importance: the anti-codon, which is responsible for specific mRNA codon recognition, and the 3' end, to which the tRNAs corresponding amino acid is attached (by aminoacyl-tRNA synthetases). tRNAs cope with the degeneracy of the genetic code in two manners: having more than one tRNA (with a specific anti-codon) for a particular amino acid; and 'wobble' base-pairing, i.e. permitting non-standard base-pairing at the 3rd anti-codon position.
Source: Rfam by way of RNAcentral